ACGAACGCUGGCGGCGUGCUUAACACAUGCAAGUCGAACGGUGAAGCGCCUUCCUUUUUGGUGGGUGUGGAUGAGUGGCGAACGGGUGUGUAACACGUGAGUAACCUGCCCCCUUCUUCUGGAUAACCGCAUGAAAGUGUGGCUAAUACGGGAUAUUCUGGGUCUGUCGCAUGAUGGGUCUGGGAAAGAUAUUGUUUCGGUGGGGGAUGGGCUCGCGGCCUAUCAGCUUGUUGGUGGGGUGAUGGCCUACCAAGGCGGUGACGGGUAGCCGGCCUGAGAGGGUGGACGGUCACACUGGGACUGAGACACGGCCCAGACUCCUACGGGAGGCAGCAGUGGGGAAUAUUGCACAAUGGGCGCAAGCCUGAUGCAGCGACGCCGCGUGAGGGAUGGAGGCCUUCGGGUUGUGAACCUCUUUCGCCAGUGAAGCAGGCCUGCCUCGUUUGUGGGUGGGUUGACGGUAGCUGGAUAAGAAGCGCCGGCUAACUACGUG
RNAcentral lists this ribosomal RNA (493 nucleotides) under uncultured bacterium. RNAcentral describes it as "partial 16S ribosomal RNA". It matches the Rfam family "Bacterial small subunit ribosomal RNA", at positions 29 to 507 of the family's 1533-position model. The record is from RNAcentral.